CACCCGCCUUGGCCUCCCAAAGUCCUGGGAUUACCCGUGUGAGCCACCGCACCGGGUCACAUAUGUUUUUAAAGAAUCCCAAAUUUUAAGACAUAUAACCUGUUCUCAACUUAGGCGAUGCCUGGGUGGAACAGAGAAGGGACAUCUCAACUUCCGGGGAUGGGGGUGGGGGGAUAUCAGCUGCCCCUGGAGGGGUAGAAAAGUGAAAAGUUAAAAUUACCUCUGCGUUACUAUUAGGCUGCGGCUGUGAGCUCCUCCGUGGCUCUCCUCCCCUAUGGAGUUGCUUUCUGCUGGCCGGGCAUGUCCCAAGAGCGAGAUGAAGGAAGCAGAGCAACCGUUGCUGCUUCUCCUUUUUCUGCUUCCUUUUCCCAGGUGGCUUCGGGACGGGGCUGGUGUCGCGGCCCCUCCCUCAGCCCUAGGGCGCCUCAGAGCAGUCAAACUGCUGGGCUCGCCGCAGAGAGGUCCCCACCUCUGCAGGUCCUGGCAGAGCAAGGCCCAGUGACAGCUCCAUUUUCUAGCAACUCAAGACUUGGUGCCUGAAGGAGGGAGCACGAGCUCAGAGCUGUGUCCAGGCGCAGCCGCCUUCUCUCUUCCCUCAAUCCUCUGAGCUCCUCGCGGAGAAUUCUGACGUCUUCCUUUCAGCGCAUGCCUCGAGGUUUUUCUGGUGCCUAGAGAUUCUCUGAUUUGCUUGGAAUCACACAUGGUAUUUGGUUUCAGUGGAAUAUUGCUGAUCCGUUACCCUCCACAGAACUCCCGAGAAGAACAGAAAUCUGUCUGCCUCUGCUUUCCAAGGACGCUGACCACAAAUAAGGCUUUCCUGAUAGAAAAUGAAUCCAUAGGAAACAUCCUACAAGAAAUAUUUAUCCAGCAAAUGGCAUGUGGAAGCUGUUUCCCUGUGUUCCUAAGUCCCAGGCUGCGAGCACCACUCGCCUCCCUCGCGAUGUCUGGAGAGCGGGAUGUCUUCCAGGUUCGUCUCCUCACUGCUGGCGGCCCGUCCUGGGUGUGGGGCUCCUGCCACGGACGCCUCCUCAGGGUGCAGCCACAGUGGGGAUCCUCUCCGUCUUUGCCACCCCCAACGCCUAUGCACUUGGCUGCCUGA
Long non-coding RNA from Piliocolobus tephrosceles (Ugandan red Colobus), 1099 nucleotides. Lineage: Eukaryota; Metazoa; Chordata; Mammalia; Primates; Cercopithecidae. The record is from Ensembl.